Molecule: ribosomal RNA, 778 nt
Filed under: uncultured archaeon
Lineage: Archaea
Description: bacterial SSU rRNA
Rfam family: Archaeal small subunit ribosomal RNA
Source: RNAcentral
GGAAAAACUGCAAAGCUAGGAAGUGGGAGAGGUAGACGGUACUCGGUAGGAAGGGGUAAAAUCCUUUGAUCUAUUGAUGACCACCAGUGGCGAAGGCGGUCUACCAGAACACGUUCGACGGUGAGGGAUGAAAGCUGGGGGAGCAAACCGGAUUAGAUACCCGGGUAGUCCCAGCUGUAAACGAUGCAGACUCGGUGAUGCUCUGGCUUGUGGCCAGUGCAGUGCCGCAGGGAAGCCGUUAAGUUUGCCGCCUGGGAAGUACGUACGCAAGUAUGAAACUUAAAGGAAUUGGCGGGGGAGCACCACAAGGGGUGAAGCCUGCGGUUCAAUUGGAGUCAACGCCAGAAAUCUUACCCGGAGAGACAGCAGAAUGAAGGUCAAGCCGAAGACUUUACCAGACAAGCUGAGAGGUGGUGCAUGGCCGUCGCCAGCUCGUGCCGUGAGAUGUCCUGUUAAGUCAGGUAACGAGCGAGAUCCCUGCCUCUAGUUGCCACCAUUACUCUCAGGAGUAGUGGGGCGAAUUAGCGGGACCGCAGCAGUUAAUGCGGAGGAAGGAAGGGGCCACGGCAGGUCAGUAUGCCCCGAAACUCUGGGGCCACACGCGGGCUGCAAUGGUAGUGACAAUGGGUUCCUAAACCGAAAGGUGGAGGUAAUCCUCAAACGCUACCACAGUUAUGAUUGAGGGCUGCAACUCGCCCUCAUGAAUAUGGAAUCCCUAGUAACUGCGUGUCAUUAUCGCGCGGUGAAUACGUCCCUGCUCCUUGCACUCACCGCCCGU